Molecule: ribosomal RNA, 917 nt
Filed under: Alcaligenes faecalis
Lineage: Bacteria; Pseudomonadati; Pseudomonadota; Betaproteobacteria; Burkholderiales; Alcaligenaceae
Description: bacterial SSU rRNA
Rfam family: Bacterial small subunit ribosomal RNA
Source: RNAcentral
UCUUUCACAUGCAGUCGACGGCAGCGCGAGAGAGCUUGCUCUCUUGGCGGCGAGUGGCGGACGGGUGAGUAAUAUAUCGGAACGUGCCCAGUAGCGGGGGAUAACUACUCGAAAGAGUGGCUAAUACCGCAUACGCCCUACGGGGGAAAGGGGGGGAUCGCAAGACCUCUCACUAUUGGAGCGGCCGAUAUCGGAUUAGCUAGUUGGUGGGGUAAAGGCUCACCAAGGCAACGAUCCGUAGCUGGUUUGAGAGGACGACCAGCCACACUGGGACUGAGACACGGCCCAGACUCCUACGGGAGGCAGCAGUGGGGAAUUUUGGACAAUGGGGGAAACCCUGAUCCAGCCAUCCCGCGUGUAUGAUGAAGGCCUUCGGGUUGUAAAGUACUUUUGGCAGAGAAGAAAAGGUAUCCCCUAAUACGGGAUACUGCUGACGGUAUCUGCAGAAUAAGCACCGGCUAACUACGUGCCAGCAGCCGCGGUAAUACGUAGGGUGCAAGCGUUAAUCGGAAUUACUGGGCGUAAAGCGUGUGUAGGCGGUUCGGAAAGAAAGAUGUGAAAUCCCAGGGCUCAACCUUGGAACUGCAUUUUUAACUGCCGAGCUAGAGUAUGUCAGAGGGGGGUAGAAUUCCACGUGUAGCAGUGAAAUGCGUAGAUAUGUGGAGGAAUACCGAUGGCGAAGGCAGCCCCCUGGGAUAAUACUGACGCUCAGACACGAAAGCGUGGGGAGCAAACAGGAUUAGAUACCCUGGUAGUCCACGCCCUAAACGAUGUCAACUAGCUGUUGGGGCCGUUAGGCCUUAGUAGCGCAGCUAACGCGUGAAGUUGACCGCCUGGGGAGUACGGGUCGCAAGAUUAAAACUCAAAGGAAAUUGACGGGGACCCGCACAAGCGGGUGGAAUGAUGUGGAUUAAAUU